Long non-coding RNA from Cephus cinctus (wheat stem sawfly), 482 nucleotides. RefSeq lists it as uncharacterized. The transcript has 3 exons. The record is from RefSeq and is a predicted model, not a curated record. Lineage: Eukaryota; Metazoa; Arthropoda; Insecta; Hymenoptera; Cephidae.
GAUGUCUAAUCCACCGACGAUUAGAUAGAGUAUACCCACGACGGCCUGUGCAACGAUUUGUCUCUAAUUUCCGGCUGAGCAAUGAUUGGCGUCUGCGCCUGCGAAUUGAUCCAAUUGCACUGAACUUCCGCCUGCGCAAUCGUAUCGGAGGAUAACAAGGCUGCCAAUCCCGUCGGAUCGAAGGCAGCGAUCAGAAGAUUGUCCAAGAAGACGACGAAGCUUAGUGUCACUCUCAAUCGGCCAAUCCACUCUACGGAAAUUGCGUACUUGGCGUCCUCCAUCCUGCAGUCUCGCAUUAGGUUUAGCGAGAGAGACAGUAAUCCCGACAGGAUCUAACCUCCAAAAAACAUUCAUUGGUGACACAGUGGUGGUAGCCAUGACGGCAAUGAUUUCAAUAACUCGUAAACGAAUAAAAAUAAAAUAUAAUCAACUGGGACUCUAUUUCGAAAAUCCGCCCGGGCACGACCGGCCGAACGUUCACG